RNAcentral lists this ribosomal RNA (2739 nucleotides) under Triticum aestivum (bread wheat). RNAcentral describes it as "partial small subunit ribosomal RNA". Lineage: Eukaryota; Viridiplantae; Streptophyta; Magnoliopsida; Poales; Poaceae. The record is from RNAcentral.
GGCUCGGGCAUUUUCCUGUUCCUUCCUGAGCCGUGCCCGUGAGCCGGUAUCCGUGACGGCCACCUGCCCCAACCCUCGAUAAUUGCAUCCCCACCCAUGCUCCCCCUCACAACCCACACAGCUCCAAAGAAAUCCCCAUCGCCGCCGCUCCCUCCCACCUUGUUCACUCGCCGCCAUGUCCGCCGCGUCAUCCUCCCCUCUCACCGUCCCAACUGACUUCCUGCUCCCUCUCAACCCGGUAUCCUUUUUGCGGUGACGAGAUCGCGACGAACUUCGCAAGGACGGGAGACAAGUUGGGUCAUUGGUUCUACAAGUGUAGAAAGUACGAUGCCCUCCAGUGCCGAUUCUUCGAUGCCAGAAGACGUACGUGAGGAGGCUAACUCCGCUUCAGCUUGCCCGUGCUUAGAAGCAACAAGCAAGUCGACAUUCACCAAGCCGUGCAGAUGGUCCAUGCUGCCAACCAACCCCCUGUGCAGCAAGGCGAUGGAGGGCAGAUAGCCACCCAAUCCAGUCUUUGCCACCGCGGUCUCGGCCAGGGCAGACUUUGUGUCAAACUGAUCAACUACAAGUCGUCGUUGCAUCCCGUUCCCAAAUGCUUGUAGUUGCCACUCUACUGCUUGCAGCUGCCAAUCCCAUGCUUACCGUGCUUGUCCUUCUGUUUGUAGUCGCCAGGUACUUUGGCUUGGUAAUUAAUGUGUUCAGAGUUGUUUACUGAGUCGCCGUGCAACGGCCAGAAGGCGUCAACCAUGUCAGGGUGGCUCCCUGUACCUCAAGCCUGUUUCACCUAAAAUGUCAGGGUAGCUCCCUGUACCUCAGGCGUCAACCGUGCGAACUUUAUUGGCAGCUUCAUAUGUAAUGAUAGUAACUAUGUUCAGUAUGCUUGUUACUGGCUGUCAUUGAAAUUAAUUCUGCGUAAUGAAAAUUCUUAUUGUUAUGCUAUUACACAAUUUGUUAUAUAAGAGAACUGUCCCUUAUGUCUUUGUUGAUCAGUUCUAUACAAAUUCUGCCCUGGCCGACCAAUAUGGGGUUGCACAUAGACUGAAGUAGCAAAUGUAUUAUAUAUUACUAGUAUUAUUUUUCAUUUCAGUUUGUUAACACAAAUAUUUCUUUAUUAUUUUGCUUCACUAGUGAUACAUAGGGCAUUGAUAUUUGAAAGGUGCAUAAGCUAUUAAGCUUCCACACCAACAGUCGAUGGGAACAACUAGAAUCAUGCAUUGAUGUCUCGAAACAUUUUCUGCACUUGAAAGUAGUGAGAGUAUGUAACCAGUUACUUUGUCGGCAUUUAACAAAUCGAAGAAGAUAUGCACCAGGUUUUUCAGGUUAAUUUUCUGCAGUCAUACAUAUCAAGUUGUUCCAUUCGGAAUGCAAAUCUUUUUCUGCAAGGUUGGCCUGUUGUGAAAACAACCUUUUCGAUCUAUCCCUCCGUUCCAAAAUAGAUGACCCAACUUUGUACUAAGUUAGUACAAAGUUGGGUCAUCUAUUUUGGAACGGAGGGAGUACAACAAAACUUUGCUGCCUGCACUAACUUCGCAACAGCUGGAUAAUUUUCUCUGGAUCUACUUUUUUGUUAAUGCGCAGCACCAGCGACUACGGCUUCGGCGAUGACUGUCGUUUCCUCCAUCACUUCCCACCAUGGACACGAUCAGGCUAUUUACGAAAAAAGAUGAACAAUUGGACCUAGGCGGUGAGGGGGAGCUCGGGAAGCCAAUGUGUCUUGCCAGCACCUUCAAGACCAGGCUAUGCAUGAGCUUUGUCGCCGGUGGAGGCCACUUGGCCUAUGGCAAAGUUGAGCUACGCAGGUCAAACGCAUCUUCAGAAGUCCAAGAUCAAGUGGUUUUCAUGGUGUUUGUGAUGAUCGUGUGUCUGCUAUUUUGCAGAAAUGCCUAAAUAGAAGGUUGUCUAUUCUUGUUGUAGUCCAUUUUUUCGGUUCAAUGAAGGCAUGAUAGGCAAGGCAAGAAAAAUGGAUUGAACAGGAACUCACUGUAUCUCUUAUUUUAUUCCUCGAAUUCUAACUGAACAAUACAAUUCUUUAUGUUGCUGGACAUCACCUCUUCCACUCCUAUUUUACAUGUAAUACAUGCAUUAUCAGCUUCGGUGUUAUUACCUUCUCUUUGGAUAAUGAGCAGAGUAAGUGUCAGUCCAAGAGAGAUAGUGCUAACAGACAACAAGGUCCUCAAGUUCUGGGUUGAGGAUGAGUGCAAGGUUUUUGGGAUCCCUUGCGGUCGUCACAAAAUCAAAGGCAGAGAUGCCAACAUAAACCCUGAAGCAAUUCAGUUCAUAAAGGGUACAGUUGAAAUGAACAAGACGGGGGUUCACAGCUUGCGUGCAGCAGAAGAGUUCCUUUUGCGCGACAUCAACGAGAAUUCCAGCCAGCUUGAAAAAGAUUGUUUCCAGAUAGCCUUUGUUAUAUUUUGUCAUGGACCAUCUGCUUUCUCUGUUAUGUAUCAACUGUUGUCGAACACGCGCAUCAGCCUUAUCAAUGCAACACACUUACACCGACAUGACCUACUAUUCUCCGCCUCUGGUUUCCCCUGUAUAAUUGACAAAAAACACAAAUGUCAUCAUUUAAACACACUUGUAGCACCGACGUCCAUGGCUGCUGCUUACCUUCCAAAACAAUAAUUACAUGAAUAAGUGUUUACCGAGCAGCCGCAUGCGAUUUCUUGCAUUCACUUUGACACCUUGUCCUCUCGACGUUUAGCCAGCUCUUACCGUACCUUAUUCUGAAUCUAAUCUCCC